GGGGGGAGGCCGGAUCCGGGGCUGUGUCCCCAGCGCCCUGUGCUCCGGGGCCUGCGCUGCUGGAAUCGUGCUGACGGCCGCACAGCCCCCU
This 91-nucleotide microRNA precursor is filed under the name Canis lupus familiaris (dog). Its description in RNAcentral is "mir-8799 microRNA precursor family". It matches the Rfam family "mir-8799 microRNA precursor family". The record is from Rfam by way of RNAcentral. Lineage: Eukaryota; Metazoa; Chordata; Mammalia; Carnivora; Canidae.